This 1777-nucleotide long non-coding RNA is filed under the name Carica papaya (papaya). Its description in RNAcentral is "long non-coding RNA (CPAP_LNC001242)". Lineage: Eukaryota; Viridiplantae; Streptophyta; Magnoliopsida; Brassicales; Caricaceae. The record is from RNAcentral.
CUCCUCUUGUUAAAAAAUUUUAUUUGAAUUUUACAUGUCAAUCUCUUAAUUUGAUUUCUCAUUUUAAAUUAUAAUUUUUAAAUUUUCUUUUCAAAUUUCUCAUUUUGCCCACAAUAGUGGGAUUUCCCCUCGAACCCAUACACCCGACACACAAGUGCAAAAACUCAUGAGGAGCCUCUUGGUGUAUACAUGCUUGAUAGUCUCACACGGCUCGCUAGUUUGCCACGCGGAGCAACAUGUAUUGCGAGGCAUGUGGCUCGACAUUAUGGGCUGCCCUAGCAAAUGUCCUUUCAUGCACCUCGGUCAUGGCGACCAUGUUCACUCGCAGACCCUCUCAGCACACAAGGCGCUUAUCAGAGUCCUUCUCACUUGCGCGCAGUGAGCUGCACGUACACAACGCGCUGGGUGCAUUUCCCAACAUACUUGGGUGCCUGGCAAUGUCUUGCGCGCACAUCAUGAAUGGCAUGACCAUGUUCUACCUUUUUCUAGUACUUUGGUGCCUAUAUAGCAUAGGACAAAGGCUACCGACCUCUUCUUUUGAUCUGUGCUCAUUUUGAUAUGUUUUUUGCAUCUGUUACUCAUUAAACAUCAUCAUUUAAUCAUCAUAAACAACUUACACAAAAAAUUAAACACAGAAAACUCAUUAAAUCAAAAUAAAGUGCAUGGACACACUCACCCUCCACUGUCAAGUUAAAAUCGAAGCCUUUUCAUGAUUUUUGGAAGAUUCUUACCAAUUUAAUGCUUCUAAAAAUCCUAUUACUUGCGUCAAUUAGAUUAUUGAAGUUCUUACCUUCUUGAAGACUCAAUUUUGGGCCUAAAUGCAUGAGAGAAUAUGAGUUUCUAAAUGGGAAAUCAACUACAACUCAAGGAGGUUGUCAUUGCAAAAUAAAGACUAUUUUUGUGCUUAUUUAUGGUUUUUGAAAUAGGAAAUCACCGUAGAAAAUUAUUUACAAGAGUUUUAAGUUAAGGCUUACCUAUUUAAAACUUAAAACCGAAAGAGAGGACUCGGUUACCUAAAAUAGGUUGUGUGAGCAUUCCUGGGCAGAACUGAGCUUUUAUUUAAAGAAGUAUGAGUUUUUAAGCUCUAACUAAAAGAGGAUGAAUGAGUAAGUGAAUUGGAAGUCAAAAACAUAAGAAACUAUAGAAGAGCUAACCUAAUUCGAAAGAGAAGUGUCGUUGCAGAACAACAACCCGACCUGUACAGCCUUUGUCAUUCACUUCCUCUCUCUCUCUCUCUCUCUCUAUCUAGUUCUUACUCUCUCUAGUCAAUAAAAAAUGAAGAAGAAGAGCAAAGAGAUGUAGUUUUAAAUGGAAUUUCAGGGAGAUUCUAGCCUUCGAAUGCAUAUGAUCCAAGUCGUUGAUGGUGGUUGGUGGCCAACCAUUUUGGAUAAGGGAGUUAAUUGGUAGCCACUUUGUGGGAGAAAGAAGGGAACUCGCCUGUCACACAAGAACUCAGUGUUAGUGGCAUCCCAUUAGGAAACAGUGUAGGGAAACUGACUUACAUGCCCAAAGGGAUGUCCAUGGUAGGGAGUGCCCUGCCUGCGAGUUCACUAGUGCUAUGUUCCCCUUGCUCGCAUGGAUAGGCAUGCGUGAGGGAAAUUUUUCACGUGAGGUUGCUUGCUAAUGGGAAGUGGUGCUACAAAACAUAGCUUGUGCAUGUAUGUCUGCAAUUGGGGCACUUUUAUAAGCCUACACGCAGAUGCUGUGCGUUAGGGUUGCCCGCGAGUGGGGGAUUUUCUGUCCAAUUAAUGUGGGUCAAGUAGGGCAAAUUCUAGGU